UACGUAGGGUGCGAGCGUUGUCCGGAAUUAUUGGGCGUAAAGGGCUCGUAGGCGGCCUGUCGCGUCCGUCGUGAAAGCCCGGGGCUCAACCCCGGGUCUGCGGUGGAUACGGGCAGGCUAGAGUCCGGCAGGGGAGACUGGAAUUCCUGGUGUAGCGGUGAAAUGCGCAGAUAUCAGGAGGAACACCAGUGGCGAAGGCGGGUCUCUGGGCCGGAACUGACGCUGAGGAGCGAAAGCGUGGGGAGCGAACAGGAUUAGAUACCCUGUAGUCC
This 272-nucleotide ribosomal RNA is filed under the name uncultured prokaryote. RNAcentral describes it as "partial 16S ribosomal RNA". It matches the Rfam family "Bacterial small subunit ribosomal RNA", at positions 524 to 796 of the family's 1533-position model. The record is from RNAcentral.